This 678-nucleotide ribosomal RNA is filed under the name Triticum aestivum (bread wheat). RNAcentral's name for it is "partial small subunit ribosomal RNA". Lineage: Eukaryota; Viridiplantae; Streptophyta; Magnoliopsida; Poales; Poaceae. The record is from RNAcentral.
AAACUAUUAGAAGCAAAGAUGAAGAGUGGGUGUUCUUUCACGUGGCAGAGCAUUUGUGCAGGGAUUAACACCUUCAAAAGAGGUGCCAUUUGGAGGAUCGGAGACGGUUCUCAGGUUAAUAUUUGGUCUGACCCGUGGAUUGCUGGGAGCGCGGACGGACGCGUAGUGACCCCGAGAGGAGCAAAUCUGCUGUCAAAGGUGGCCGACCUGAUCGAUCCGGUUACAAGAGUAUGGGAUCAAGAGCUUGUGAUGGAUACGUUUUGGCAGGUUGAUGCGGAGAGAAUUCUGGCGAUCCCGCUCGCGCCGCAAGGUAUGAUGGAGGACUUUGUGGCUUGGAGAUUUACGAAGAAUAACAUGUUCACAGUCUGGUCGGCGUAUCAUGCUGAGUGGGAUCACCAGUUUGGUCGAUGGUUUGAGAGAACAGAAGGCCAACAAUCAUAGCGCUAUCCAGUAUGGGCAAAGCUGUGGGAGUCCUCAUUGCCGGGAAAGAUCAAGAUCCACGCAUGGAAAGUGUUGCAUGGGUUCGUACCAUGUUUUGGAGUCCUGGCAAACCGACAUAUUGCUAUGCCUAGGAACUGUCCUAUGUGUGCAGGAGGCUGUGAGGAUAUCAAGCAUGCAUUAUCUACUUGCCCAAGAGCGUCGGAAGUAUGGAGGUGUCUAAAACUAGAUGGAUUUGUG